This 253-nucleotide ribosomal RNA is filed under the name uncultured bacterium. RNAcentral describes it as "partial 16S ribosomal RNA". It matches the Rfam family "Bacterial small subunit ribosomal RNA", at positions 524 to 776 of the family's 1533-position model. The record is from RNAcentral.
UACGUAGGGGCCGAGCGGGGCCCGGAGUUAUUGGGCGUAAAGCGCGCGCAGGCGGCCUCGCGCGCCCGACGUGAAAGCCCCCGGCUUAACCGGGGAGGGUCGUUGGGGACGGCGGGGCUUGAGGGCGGGAGAGGGUGGUGGAAUUCCCGGUGUAGUGGUGAAAUGCGUAGAGAUCGGGAGGAACACCCGGGGCGAAGGCGGCCACCUGGGCCGACCCUGACGCUGAGGCGCGAAGGCGUGGGGAGCGAACGGG